This 3214-nucleotide long non-coding RNA is filed under the name Pongo abelii (Sumatran orangutan). Its description in RNAcentral is "lincRNA". The record is from RNAcentral. Lineage: Eukaryota; Metazoa; Chordata; Mammalia; Primates; Hominidae.
UACAAAGCAAACCAGGAGAAUUUUCAUAAUACCCGAUAACUAGGUAAGACUUGGAAUAUUUGAAUUUCUAGGACAUGGGAUUGUGCAACCAUUCAUUUUAUCCCAUAAUAUUGAAAUCUCCCUCAGAUAAGCCUCUCGGCACCUAAUAGAGUUUUCUUAGUGAAGGGCUACCUUUCUGUGGGUAAUGGGGAAGGGCAAAAUAAACAAUCAAAUAAUAUCAUAAUUACGAGUGUCAAUGAUUGCUGGAACGGGGUGGGGGGGUUGGUCAUUAAAUUCUAGUUGUUUCCACUAUUCCAGUGGGAAUUGUGUGAAUGUUAGCAAAAGACCAGGGUGUUAUGAUCUGAUUGUGUUUCAUCAAUUGCCUUGAUUUUAGGUGAAAUAUGAUGUGAGGACAUAUCAUUAUUAGAUUUGCCACAGAUUCUAAUUUUUUUCUCUAAUAUGAGGCUAACCUUGAUGUCCUUUCCCAGGAAGAACAAUCUCUCCUUGAUCAGGGAAAAAUCAGCAGGGGCUUCCUCAAUUUUCUCCUUCAUCCCCACCACAGAGUCAUAGAGGUCAAGUCCUUUUCUUGUUAAACCUAAAAAAUGCAAAUUCCAAGGUUGCUGCUAUGGUGUACUAAUUUUGUCACAGUGACAUGCCCUGUCACAGGGCAUAUGUGUUCUGUUAUACAAUUGAAAUAUUGGAUAUACUAUUGAAAUGUUUUUGUACUAUUGAAAUCUCGAAUAAACUUAAUUCUAAAAGAAGCAUGACCUUAACAGCCUCACACCUACUUAUAUCUUAUAGUUCUUUCUGUCUAAUGCUGGCAACCUAAGCAUGUUCCAGGCAAGCAACAUUCAAUAGCGUUUUACUGCUCCAAUAAGUUGGUUCAAUUAGCAAUGUCAAAGGCAGUCACUAAAUAGAUAGUGUAUAACCUUCGUACAAUCUCGUAUUAUUUUCCACUAAUUAAUAUAGAAAAAUUGAUGAAGUUUCUUUACAAUGGAAUAACUCAAUCACACUUCAAAAACUACAUACGGAAGAUAGCCACAACUUGCUGCUCUCGAAAAAAACAGAAAUGGCAUCUUUACUUUGUUUCAAAUCCCCAACCCUGGUGGGGGUCCAAAGUUAUGGCAGUUAUAAACCCUUAUGUCAUUAUAAGGAGGAAGGGUAAAUAUUAAGUCAGCAUCCUUUAAAACUAAGAGUGACUACAGUGGGGUGGAAUUUGGGACUUCAUGUCCACUCCCUGUUUCUGUUCUAUUUUACCUUUCCUGACCUCUAAGCCAACAGGAGAGGGGGAAGAGCCACACUUUUGUGACCCUUCUUAAAGAAUUGUGUUGAGUUUAGGAAACAAAGAUGGAUUUCUGAGGGGGUAGUUGAGGAUGGGCUGAAGGCACAGAAGAAACCAGCUGGUGUGCCCCUCUCCCCACUAGCAGACCCUUCUUCCUCAUUGAUUCAGGGCAAACAAUCCCCAAGAAUUCAAGGAAACUAACUUAGAGUUAUUUUCUGUUAUUUCUCUUUUCCUUGAUCUGGAGCCAAUGCAGAAAGAAAUCUAAAUGUGAAGGAAAGGCAGCAUUCAGCACUGAGCAAGUCCAUGUUGGAGAAAGUUCGCAGGGAAUUGGAAAUCCUUGUCCUCGUGGUUCCUGGCUCAGCAGGACCCCUGUGGGGCCUCUCCCUCUCCUGGGAAAGAGACUGCUCUAGAAGGUUUACUACACCAGUGAGGAGAAGAUGAGCGUAUGGGGGAUUGGCUGGCUGAGGGCGAAAUCAAGGCUGGAGCCAAGUGCGCUGAGCUCUCACGUGAGGUCCUUUGCUCCUGUUCCCUGGAGGCAUAAGUGGCUGGGGUAGAGAGAAGCAGGGGUAUUUCUUCUGUCAUUUCUUGCUUAGGGAGUGGGGGUGGAAAUCUCCCUGCAUCUAAGGAAAUUUGAAAAGACAAACUAUGGUUGCUUCUUCAAGCAAACCACCUCACCACACUAUCCAGGGGAUAAAACCUGCUUGCUGCUGCUAAAUUAUGCCAAGAGAGAACAUUCUGAUCUUUCUCCUCAAUUCUAGGCAUGACAGUGUGACUCGGUGCUUAAAGGCAUGGAGUUUUGAGUUGCAGACCUAGGUUUGAGUGCUGAAUCUACUAGCUUCAGGGUGUUAAAAAAGUUUCUUAAUCUCUCUAAACCUUAUUUUUCUCAAAGAUAAAAACUGGGUGUAGUUGUGAGUAUAGUGAAUGCACAUAGUAUGUGCAUUUGGCACAUUAAUUCACUAUUAUUCUGGACAUAAUUUCUCCUAAGAAAAAUGAUGAACUAAUUGCAGGGCCUAGCCUAAGCUCUGAGAAGUCAUUCGUUAUAGCAUUUCAGUCCAUAGUAAACAAGAAGAAAUGAGGUAAAGAGUUUAAACCAGGGAAGGCAUAGCUGUGGUCACCAAACAACCUGUUAAAGGCAAGCUCUAGGCACCAAACAACCUAUUACGGACCGAACUGUGUUCCUCAAAUUCAUAUGUUGAAGUCCUAACCCCAAGUACCGAAUGUGACUGUAUUUGGGGAUAGGGUCCCUAAAGAAGUCACUCAGCUGGAAGGAGUCAUAUUGGAUUAGGUGCUGGGAAUUGGCUGGCCAAGGGAGAAAUCAAGGCUGGAACCAAGUGCUGAACUCUCACAUCAGGUCCUUUGCUCCUGUUCCCUGGACCCUAAUCCAAUAUGACUGGCAUCUUUAUAUGAAGAGAAAGAGGCACCAGAGGGUACACACGCAGAGAAAAGGCCAUGUGUGGACACAGUAAGAUGACGGACAUCUGUAAGCCAAGGAGGGAAACCUCAGAAGAAAUCAAUCUUGCCUGCACCUUGAUCUUGGAGGUCCAGUCUCCAGAACUGUGAAAAAAAUGAACUGGUGUUGUUUAAAUCCCCCAGUCUGUGGUAUUUUGUUGUGGUGGCCCUAGAAGACAAAUAUACAACCCAAAGGAAUAUUCUUUCCACAUUCUCCCUCUUCCACUUUAUAGUUUUUUCUCUUUUGUUUUUUUUUUCUCUUUUACUUUCUUUUUCUUCUCUUCUCUUUCCUCUUUCCUUUGGUUUUUAAUUUUAAUUUUAAUUUUUGGCCUUCCUGUACCUCCAUUUGCCUUUCCAGGAAGCUGAAUUUCAGACAAUUAAUCAUUCAUCUCAUCAGUUCAGCAAAGCAAAUGCCCUCAAUGGUUUCUUUCGUGAUUUGAUUAUUAUAGGAUCAGAAUGUAACUUAUUCCUCUGGGAAAAAUGAAACAUAAAAAUUUCAGAAAU